Long non-coding RNA from Lagenorhynchus albirostris (white-beaked dolphin), 1763 nucleotides. RefSeq lists it as uncharacterized. NCBI's taxonomy places the organism in Eukaryota, Metazoa, Chordata, Mammalia, Artiodactyla, Delphinidae. The transcript has 3 exons. The record is from RefSeq and is a predicted model, not a curated record.
UAAGUAGCAGAAUUAGGAACGGAGGGGAGGAAGCAAUUGCAGUGGUCCAGGAAAAAAUAACAGGAUUAUUUCCUGUAAGGUUCUAGAUGUUUACCCAUACAGAUUUAUUUCAUACUCAGGACAAUCCUCUGAAAGAGUUGCUGCUAUUUCACAGUUAUAGACAAGGAAACUGGGGCACAGAAAGGUGGACUUAUACAAGGUCUUAAGCUGCAGAGGGAAAAAGUGGAAAAUUUGGAAGAGAGAGGAAACAACCGAUGAAGUCCAUGGGACAGCAGGAGAAAAGAGGAUCUAUAAUGAAUGUGGAGGGAUUGGAUAUUAUUAGACAAAGGUCCUGUACUUUGUUGGACUUUGAAGUGUCUUAAUGAACCUGAACUUACUUAUUAUAUCUCAUCAACUGUGACUCAGUAAAUCUUCAGAUAAUGAUAAUGACGGCAAUCCUUUCUUUUGAGAAAAAAAUUUAUGGAUUAUGAAAAGGCUUAAGAUGCCCUAAAUAAGUACUAGUGGUUUUUACUUUCCACAUCCAAGUAGUAUAAUUCAGAAACUGAAACCCUCAAUCCAGAUGUCUUCCUCAGUACCCCUGGGCUCUAGACAGGACCUUCAAGAUGGCAGAGGAGUAAGACGUGGAGAUCACUUUCCUCCCCACAAAUACGUCAGAAAUACACCUACAUGUGGAACCACUCCUACAGAACACCUACUGAACGCUGGCAGAAGAACUCAGACCUCCCAAAAGGCAAGAAACUCCCCACCUACCUGGGUAGGGCAAAAGAAAAAGACGAAUAGGGACGGGACCUGCACCAGUGGGAGGGAGCUGUGAAAGAGGAAAGGUUUCCACACACUAGAAAGGCCCUUCGCGGGCUGAGACUGCGGGUGGCAGAGGGGGGUAGCUUCACAGCCGCGGAGGAGAGCGCAGCAACAGGGGUGCGGAGGGCAAAGCAGAGAGAUUCCCGCAUGGAGGAUCGGUGCCGACUGGCACUCACCAGCCCGAGAGGCUUGUCUGCUCACCCGCCGGGGCGGGCGGGGCUGGGAGUUGAGGCUCGGGCUUUGGUCGGAGCGCAGGGAGAGGACUGGAGUUGGCUGCAUGAACACAGCCUGAAGGGACUAGUGCACCACGGCUAGCCGGGAGGGAGUCCGGGAAAAAGUCUGGAGCUGCCGAAGAGGCAAGAGACCAUUAUUUCGGGGUGCAAGAGGAGAGGGGAUUCAGAGCACCACCUAAAGGAGCUCCAGAGACGGGCGCGAGCCGAGGCUAUCAGCGCGGACCCCAGAGACGGGCAUGAGAUGCUAAGGCUGCUGCUGCCGCCACCAGGAAGCCUGUGUGCGAGCACCGGUCACUAUCCACACCCCCCCUUCCGGGGAGCCUGUGCAGCCCGCCACUGCCAGGGUCCCAGGAGCCAGGGACCACUUCCCUGGGAGAACACGGCGCACCUCAGGCUGGUGCAACGUCCCGGUGACCUCUGCCGCCGCAGGCCCACCCCGCACUCCGUGCCCCUCCCUCCCGCCGGCCUGAGAGAGCCAGAGUCCCCGAAGCAGCUGCUCCUUUAACCCUGUCCUGUCUGGGCCGGAACAGACACCCUCAGGAGACCUACACGAAGAGGCGGGUCCAAAUCCAAAGCUGAACCCCCGGAGCUGUGCGAACAAAGAAGAGAAAGGGAAAUCUCUCCCAGCAGCCUCAGAAGCAGCGGAUUAAAGCUCCACAAUCAACUUGAUGUACCCUGCAUCUGUGGAAUACAUGAAUAGACAAUGAGUCAUCCCAAAUUGAGAAGGUG